AUGAACGCUAGCUACAGGCUUAACACAUGCAAGUCAGGGGCAGCAUGUGUUGCUUGCAACCAAUGAUGGCGACCGGCGCACGGGUGAGUAACGCGUAUCCAACCUUCCCCUUAGUAGAGGAUAGCCCGGCGAAAGUCGGAUUAACACUCUAUGUUGUAUUUUGAUGGCAUCUGACGAAUACCAAAGAUUUAUCGCUAAGGGAUGGGGAUGCGUCUGAUUAGGUUGCAGGCGGGUAACGGCCCACCUGGCCUACGAUCAGUAGGGGGUUCUGAGAGGAAGGUCCCCACACUGGUACUGAGACACGGACCAGACUCCUACGGGAGGCAGCAGUGAGGAAUAUUGGUCAAUGGGCGCGAGCCUGAACCAGCCAAGUAGCGUGCAGGACGACUGCCCUAUGGGUUGUAAACUGCUUUUAUCAGGGAAUAAAGUGAGGCACGUGUGCCUUUUUGUAUGUACCUGAUGAAUAAGGACCGGCUAAUUCCGUGCC
Molecule: ribosomal RNA, 487 nt
Filed under: uncultured bacterium
Lineage: Bacteria
Description: bacterial SSU rRNA
Rfam family: Bacterial small subunit ribosomal RNA
Source: RNAcentral